GGUUCCGUAGCUUAGUUGGUUAUAGCGUGUGGCUGUUAACCACAAGGUCGUAGGUUCGACCCCUACCGGGACCGA
This 75-nucleotide transfer RNA is filed under the name Babesia caballi. RNAcentral describes it as "tRNA-Asn". It matches the Rfam family "tRNA". From Rfam's summary of the family: Transfer RNA (tRNA) molecules are approximately 80 nucleotides in length. Their secondary structure includes four short double-helical elements and three loops (D, anti-codon, and T loops). The record is from RNAcentral. Lineage: Eukaryota; Apicomplexa; Aconoidasida; Piroplasmida; Babesiidae.